AGAGUUUGAUCCUGGCUCAGGACGAACGCUGGCGGCGUGCUUAACACAUGCAAGUCGAACGAUGAAGACCGGUGCUUGCACUGGUUGGAUUAGUGGCGAACGGGUGAGUAAUACGUGAGUAACCUGCCUUUGACUCUGGGAUAAGCCUUGGAAACGAGGUCUAAUACCGGAUACGACUAACCUUCGCAUGAAGUGUUAGUGGAAAGGGUUUGUACUGGUUUUAGAUGGGCUCACGGCCUAUCAGCUUGUUGGUGAGGUAAUGGCUCACCAAGGCGACGACGGGUAGCCGGCCUGAGAGGGUGACCGGCCACACUGGGACUGAGACACGGCCCAGACUCCUACGGGAGGCAGCAGUGGGGAAU
Molecule: ribosomal RNA, 362 nt
Filed under: uncultured Actinomycetes bacterium
Lineage: Bacteria; Bacillati; Actinomycetota; Actinomycetes
Description: bacterial SSU rRNA
Rfam family: Bacterial small subunit ribosomal RNA
Source: RNAcentral